This 464-nucleotide ribosomal RNA is filed under the name uncultured bacterium. RNAcentral's name for it is "partial 16S ribosomal RNA". It matches the Rfam family "Bacterial small subunit ribosomal RNA", at positions 28 to 507 of the family's 1533-position model. The record is from RNAcentral.
GACGAACGCUGGCGGCGUGCUUAACACAUGCAAGUCGAACGGUAAGGCCCCAGCUUGCUGGGGUACACGAGUGGCGAACGGGUGAGUAACACGUGGAUGACCUGCCCCGCACUUCGGGAUAAGCCUGGGAAACUGGGUCUAAUACCGGAUAGGACCGCACCGUGAGGGUGUGGUGGAAAGUUUUUCGGUGUGGGAUGGGCCCGCGGCCUAUCAGCUUGUUGGUGGGGUAAUGGCCUACCAAGGCGGCGACGGGUAGCCGGCCUGAGAGGGUGGACGGCCACAUUGGGACUGAGACACGGCCCAGACUCCUACGGGAGGCAGCAGUGGGGAAUAUUGCACAAUGGGCGGAAGCCUGAUGCAGCGACGCCGCGUGGGGGAUGACGGCCUUCGGGUUGUAAACUCCUUUCACCAUCGACGAAGGUUUUCUGACGGUAGAUGGAGAAGAAGCACCGGCUAACUACGUG